This 726-nucleotide long non-coding RNA is filed under the name Homo sapiens (human). RNAcentral's name for it is "non-protein coding lnc-TP53TG3F-3:3". Lineage: Eukaryota; Metazoa; Chordata; Mammalia; Primates; Hominidae. The record is from RNAcentral.
CCCAUUCUAAAUAAACCAAGCAGAUUCCCAAGGGACCCUUGCAGACAAGUCAGCUCAGGGGAGGCGGCUGAGGCGGGGUGCGGGCUGCUAGUGGGGUGCAGCCCCAUAGCCGGGGCUGGCCCUGCCAGCGUGCCUUUCCUGGGAAGAGGUGGAAGUGCUGAGCUCUGCAGACUUGGAAGCAAGGGAAGGCCCAAGCUGCUGGAGAGGAGCCGGGCUACCCCAUGGGGAUAGCCCACGCUGAGCUAUUGCUUGGGCACCAACGCCAGCCUCAAGCGGGGCCAGCGCAGGAGGUCUGGGGAGCUGUCCUGCAGCGCUGACAUCUAUGAGGCAGCGUCAAGCAAAGGUGUAGGCCAAGGCAGAGAGGAGCGGAGGCGCCGCAGAUGGAACAUGCUGCUCCCUGAUGCCAGCCCCAAGCAAAGCCAGCGCAGGGUGCUGUGGGCGGAACCGCCCUGCAGCUAUAACCUCACGGAGGCAGAGGUGGCAGUAAAAAAAAAAAAAAAUCCCCACACCCCACUGCUGUGGAGCCUGCCCAGUCGGAUUUCGGAGCCCGCGAGGGCCAUGACCUGCAACACAUCAGUGACCAGGAGAUGCCCAAAAGUAAGGAGGCGACUGAUAGUGUUUGCCCUCAGAUUUUGCUUCUGACUGUCCAGGGGAAAGCACACUCUUCCUGAGAAAAUAUCAAAUGAGUGUGCAAGAAAAGAGGAGCAGCUCUCACCUAUAUUAUGU